GAUGAACGCUAGCUACAGGCUUAACACAUGCAAGUCGAGGGGAAACGGCAUUUAGUGCUUGCACCGAAUGGACGUCGACCGGCGCACGGGUGAGUAACGCGUAUCCAACCUACCCAUUACUGUGGGAUAACCUGCCGAAAGGCAGACUAAUACCGCAUAGUCUUCGAUGACGGCAUCAGAUUUGAAGUAAAGAUUUAUCGGUAAUGGAUGGGGAUGCGUCUGAUUAGCUUGUUGGCGGGGUAACGGCCCACCAAGGCAACGAUCAGUAGGGGUUCUGAGAGGAAGGUCCCCCACAUUGGAACUGAGAUACGGUCCAAACUCCUACGGGAGGCAGCAGUGAGGAAUAUUGGUCAAUGGGCGCGAGCCUGAACCAGCCAAGUAGCGUGCAGGAUGACGGCCCUAUGGGUUGUAAACUGCUUUUGUAUGGGGAUAAAGUCAAUCACGUGUGAUUGUUUGCAGGUACCAUACGAAUAAGGACCGGCUAAUUCCGUGCCAGCAGCCGCGGUAAUACGGAAGGUCCGGGCGUUAUCCGGAUUUAUUGGGUUUAAAGGGAGCGUAGGCCGGAGAUUAAGUGUGUUGUGAAAUGUAGACGCUCAACGUCUGACUUGCAGCGCAUACUGGUUUCCUUGAGUACGCACAACGUAGGCGGAAUUCGUCGUGUAGCGGUGAAAUGCUUAGAUAUGACGAAGAACUCCGAUUGCGAAGGCAGCUUACGGGAGCACAACUGACGCUGAAGCUCGAAGGUGCGGGUAUCAAACAGG
RNAcentral lists this ribosomal RNA (761 nucleotides) under Prevotella melaninogenica. RNAcentral's name for it is "bacterial SSU rRNA". It matches the Rfam family "Bacterial small subunit ribosomal RNA", at positions 28 to 776 of the family's 1533-position model. The record is from RNAcentral. Lineage: Bacteria; Pseudomonadati; Bacteroidota; Bacteroidia; Bacteroidales; Prevotellaceae.